This 1574-nucleotide long non-coding RNA is filed under the name Fragaria vesca (wild strawberry). Its description in RNAcentral is "long non-coding RNA (FVES_LNC000579)". Lineage: Eukaryota; Viridiplantae; Streptophyta; Magnoliopsida; Rosales; Rosaceae. The record is from RNAcentral.
CAGAUAUGACUAGCUAGCUGAGUGUACCUUUGUUGGAAAAUAAAGAUUCUUUCAAUAGAAAAUGUUAUGGGUUACAAAUCAAACAGAAUAGGGAAAGUAGAGAGAGAAGCUCUGUCUUCUCUUUAGACUUUCUCUUGCUAGGAGCCUCUGUUGAGAGUCGUCGGUGUGCUCCGUUCGUCUGUUGGAUGGCGUUGUCUAUCCCUCUGACGGUUUUGUCCGGACAGCCCCAUCUGGUUCUCCGGCAGCUGAGUCUGUUCUUUUUCUUCCCAAUUUCAUGUUUUCUUCUCCCUUUCUCCAGAUUUGGCCUCAUGCUAUCUCUCUACAACCUUCAAAAUCAAUCAUUGCAGGAAUCAUCGAAAUUCCUCGCCUUUCUCUUCAGAUCUACGGCCUCGGGCUCCUCAAGUUUGAAUCUCUCUAUUGUUAUUCAAUGCAUUACGAUAUGUAAGUUGUGAAAUAGAGGUGUACAGAGAUCAAGCAGCGUCUCCGGUGCAUGCACCGACACUUCUGUCUUUUUUACUUUCCUUGGGUCUUUGCGACGGCUCCAACAGCGUCUCUUCUGAUAGCUUUAGCAGUGAGUUCCAUGGUAGAUUUGAGGCUUGUGUUUGCAAGUGCUAUCUCAAUUCUACUUGGGUUGGUUGGUUUUUGAUUUUUGGGUUUUGUGGAAUGGCUAUUUCAGACUAGGAGCGGUUUUGGUCAUCAAAGCAAUUUUCCGUGCAGGCGUGUGGCAGUUUGUGGCGAUGACGCCAUUGAAAGUUUCAUCAAUGCCUAGGUUUUUGUAGGGUUUGUUUUUGAGAUGGGCCGUUUUGAUUUUCCUUUGUUGUUGUUAUGAGCUUGUAUUUUACUUCCUGAAUUUUGUAUUUGGGCUUGUAAUUUGCUAUGCUUAUUUGUCCGAAAAAAAAAUAAUGUUAUGGGUUUAAAUUGGCAUUGUAAUGCAACAGAAGAAUAGGCAUAAAAAGCUGUUGGGAAUUAAGAAAGGUCAUUCUAAACAGGUUGCUAGCAGUGCAGAGGCCUCAUCUUGCAAAACCUUCCAUGCUGCAGUCACAUGCUUCUCCUCAGUCAAUGGAGCUCCUACUGCAAAACGUAAUAUGUAUGCACCAGACAGGACCUGUAUGAUAAUUUUUCAACAGGUUCACGUUAUCAUAAUGAUCAUUUAGAAUCGAAACCAACACACAACAUCAAUGCGACUGGAGGUGUUUAAUUGUGAGCUUACCGUGUGAGAAAUGUAUAUCUUCCCUGUUGAAUUUACAGCAUCUAAUAGGUCAUGGUUCAAUUUGCUUGCACAGGCCUCAUUGCCAUGAGGAGGCAGAAGGCGGAAACAAACUAACGAAUAAAGUCGUGGAGUAACAAUCUGCCAGUUAUGGUGAAUUAUCAGCAAGAAGCAACAUAGUUGAAGAAGUCAAACGAGUUAAAAGAUAUAGCAGUCCAUAAUACAAUUCAUGGAGAAUAUGGUUACCUCAAACCUAGGGUCUUGAGCAACAAGCUCUUCGAAGUGUUUGGCCAAAUUAAUAUGGGUUCUUAUGUAGGACUGUAGGUUCUCUAAACCAUAAAGUCGUAACACCAUCCAUAGCUUCAAU